UACGGGGGGGGCAAGCGUUGUUCGGAAUUACUGGGCGUAAAGCGCGCGUAGGCGGCUCUUCAAGUCGAGUGUGAAAGCUCCAGGCUUAACCUGGGAAUUGCGCUUGAUACUGUUGAGCUAGAGUGUGGAAGGGGCUACUGGAAUUCCGUGUGUAGCGGUGAAAUGCGUAGAUAUACGGAGGAACACCAACGGCGAAAGCACUCUGCUGGGCCGACACUGACACUGAGAGACGAAAGCUAGGGGAGCGAAUGGG
Molecule: ribosomal RNA, 253 nt
Filed under: uncultured bacterium
Lineage: Bacteria
Description: partial 16S ribosomal RNA
Rfam family: Bacterial small subunit ribosomal RNA
Source: RNAcentral